Molecule: long non-coding RNA, 5711 nt
Organism: Triticum aestivum (bread wheat)
Lineage: Eukaryota; Viridiplantae; Streptophyta; Magnoliopsida; Poales; Poaceae
Exons: 2
Source: RefSeq, a predicted model, not a curated record
GACAGCGCACCCCUGACCCCAAGGAAAUCACGACCCCCUGCCCCUCUCCCUCUCGUGGGCUCGUAGCUCUCUCCUCUCGAACACAACUCUAGGGUUCCAUCGCCGCCAGGACGCCUAUGGGAUCCAGAGAAGGAUCAAGACAGUGGCGACGGUCGCACGGCUCCCCUUCAAGUCGAGCAAACCUACCCCCUCCCGGUCCUCUCGUUCAUUUCUCUCUUUUGAAACGGCGGCGGCGGGUGGUGGCAUCAUUGGCGGUGGCGGCAAAUCAGGUAGGAUCCCAUCCCUCUCUCCCUAAGCAUGCUUUCUCGUCCUCUCUCGCGCGCUACAAAACCACAGGGGGCGGCGGCUUGAGGGCGUGGGCUUCUGUGCGCCGGGGUGGUGCUGCGGUGGUGGCCGGAGGAGGCAUGUGACUGGCGGGCUGAAGUCGCGGCGUGACGCGGCGAUGGCGUCGGCGACGCCGAUGUCUGGAUCUCACAUAGUAAUAGCUUGGGGAGGUGAUCCAGCUCGGGCGUGUAGCAAAAAUCAGUCGGUCCUAGCUUCUGUGUCUUAUGUCGGUAGAGCUCAACAACACUAUGUCUCCUUUCUCUCUUUAUCUUCUUUGUACUGAAUUGGCCCCUCUUUGUUGCAGAAAUUUCACGGUAACCAGGAGUAACAAUAUUUUUGGUUAAUUUGGGGAUACGGUGAUGUUCUGGUGACAUGGAACAUGCUGAGAUUUGGACUUGAAUCCUUGAUUGUGCAUGGGUAUUCAUGCUUCAUACCCAUGCUGGAAACAAAUUUUCAUUUUGAAACUGAGUAAUCAUACUAUAACUAUCGACAUGUAGAUUUAUGCUCCAUGUAGUAUAUUACUGGUCCAUUAUAGCUAGAUUCAGUUCACCAUUUGCAAGAUCAUAUUCCACUAUAUAUAGAGACUAAAUAUUGUUUCAUUUAGCUGUUUGUCCAUGUAUGUAGCUCAUUCAGUUCUCUGAAACCUGGGGAGAUUAAUCCAAAGCUGAAGCAGGAACCACACGUCGAUUAGAGCUGUUGCAGCGGCAGAUUCACCUUCCCUUUGUGCCUCAUUGGACACAACAAGGGGUGGGUGUCCCAUCUCCUGUGCGAAAUUGUACUAUGGUAACACCUUGUGUUGUUCAGCUUGGAAUUGGAUACUCGAUGGUGUGUUGCCCCAAAUUAGCAGCUCAUUGUUACUUUGUAAUCACGAAUAAUUUUUGUUGUUGUGAGUAAUUGUGCAUUGCGAUGGGCUCUUCAUUUUGUUAUCGAAUGUUGCAGACUAUUAUUGGCUUCUCAAUGCAGAUCUGUGAUGCCCAGUUGCCCACUGAUGGUAUAUGUUAUGUCCUGCUCAAAAUAGUCGGGGUAAUAUCUAUGCUUAUGUUGCGUUGUACAGGAACAGCCAAGGUUGUUGUAGUAAUAAAAUGAGCCCGACGUUGUCUACUGAUCAUUGUAUAUUGGAUGGGCAAGUAGUAGGUUUUUCUCAUCUUAGUCCUAUAACUUCGUUUGUCUACUCUAUUGUCAUUUACACACUAACUUUUAUGCCACAUUAGGGAAUAUUCCUUUUAUGCCAUAGUUUUCUGUUGGAAGACUUCUGUUUCUCCCAUUCCAGGGAUGCUAGGCUAUGUAAGUAGCGACACUGUAAUUUUUAUUGAUCUGAAUCUUCGGGCUCUGUUUUCAAAUUUUCAGCUACCAACGCUUGAUCGGGACCACGCCCAAGACAACGGGCCCGAUGUUUGGAAAGGAUCGCGAAAGUGACAUGUGUCAUGGUGAGGCCAGUUUCCAUUCCACAUGUUGCCUUAUUUUCUUCUAUAUCCGCAAUUUGCGAGGUAAUUUUAAAUCAUUUUGUAUGCUCGUCGAUGUUGAUCUAUGGCAAGAGUCUGGUUCAUCACAACAUCGGUGUUGUUUGGUUCUUCUUUUCUCCAAGCAUGUUCUGGCUCGGCAGUGCACCAUAACUAGAGUUUUCACACCUGACAGUCACGCCCACCUAAAAUGGGCAUCCUUUGUCACUAUUGCAUUCCGCUCAUGUAUUCUUAAUUGUGAAGCUUCUCGUAGGAACAAAAAAUUAAACAAACAAGUAUGAAUGGAUAGAGAAAGUUUGUUGUUUGUCAAGUACCUCGGCAGUCAGGUAGGAGUACUUACGCAGGAGUGACCGUUUUGGUCAAACGGGUGGCGGAAGAUACUGACCCUUCCUGUGGUCUGUGUCUCUAUCACGCAAGGAGCAAAGGUUAGCGCUUGUGGAUCAUCACUCGACCUGAGGAGGAGUAGGAUGUUCACACUCCACUCCACGAUUGCAUGAAGAAAUCUUAUGCCAAUUCCAGUUUGCCUUGCCUUGCCCAUGUGACCAACUGUUGCUCUCGUCUCGAUCGACCACACUCCACAGUCGCAUUUUGAUCGAAGUUUCUCCUUUUAGCGCUAUGGCUAUGGAGAUCAAGAACAAUGGGAACGAAUGGUGUGACAUCGGUGAUGAUGUCGCUGAAGGAGAGGGUAAACAGACAUGAUGUGUUUCUGACUAAUGGGCUGCAGGGUUGGCACAAGGAAACUAUUGUUAUGCCUUGCGAGGUCCGACGACGGUGACAGGAUGACUUGAGCAAAGCUGUGAAAAAAUCAGUUUUUUUUCAGAAACAUAAAACAGUGACCUACAAUAUAAUGCAUCAGCGGAAGAGGAGGAGGAGGCAUAUGAAGCUGAGAGAGGUGACGGGGAGCACGAGAAACUGCUCCCGCUGCAAGAGAGGGAGCCAUGCCAAUAGUCAGUUGUGGGUUUGUGGCGCUGGUCGCGACCGCCGCAUCACCAACCAUGAUCGUCCAAGCUGUGGCAUGGGGGUCGUGCUUGCUGCUUGCGCGGCGAUCCCCCCAUCGUGAUGAUAAGGCGACUCCCCAACCCUAAUGAUAAGGCUUCAUCCAUUCAAUUUUGACUCUGUAGACAACUAGCUUUUGGUAAGUGCAGCAUGCUCAAGUUUACUUUGUAGCUAUUUCCGUGUUCUGCAUUUUAGUGGUACAAGAUUGUGUCGCUCAAUCUUGGCCUAGAGGUGCUCCCAUUUUAGGUCAAACACAGUUUAUUCUCAAACCGUUGCAUAUUUUGCUGAAAUGCUUCAAGGUGGUUUUACUAUGACAGUAUGACCAUGCUUGUAAUGCCAGCUUGGCUUGAGAGGUCGGCUAAUUCAGUAGGCUUAUUCAAUGGCGAAUAGGUCCAUGUAUUAGAUAGGAUCAACAAGAGUUGGCUGGCAGCUGCUAUGUAUAUGUUAUGGAUCAGAGGCAAUUAAUCUGUCUUUGCCCCCCUUUUUUUAAUUCAAGCCCUUAAGAUUAUGCUCUUAAAUGCAUACACAUGACUUACUUCCAGAUUUAACAAGACUGCAUUCUACAAUGAGCUAUAUAGCUGAUGUUGAUCAUAAUCAGUACGUGUACAGAGCAGUUUUAAGAUUUCCUGUUUCUUCAUAUUGAAUACCAAUUGCGCAAUAUGUGUAUUUGUAGCAUAUUGCAGACUUGCAGUGAAGUAGUGCCUGCUAUACAUGAGAUGUACCUUUUUUAGAUAACUUUUCUUAAAAUUAAAAAUACUAAAAUGCACAUGUUUCUAUCAAUUUAUUGGUACUCAAUGACUUCCUUAUCCAGGUUGUGAUUUGCUAUACAAUUUCUUACAUGUUAGAAGGUACAUAUGAGAUAUAGUAAAGUUGAUUAUAUAUGGGAUAUAGACUAGAAAAUUAUAAGACGUCAUAUGCAAGUUGUCUGGAAAAUCUUAGGAAUGCAUUGACUUUGGCCGAACACGGGGCAAGACAUGAACGUGAUGCCUGAUAGUUAUCGUCGCUGCACCUCUGCAUCUGCUUCUAUUUUGUUGCAAUAUCCUGCAUUGAAUGAGAGCUGUUAUCAUGCACAUGUUUGCGAUGCAGGUUCCAACACUACCACAAAGCUUGGUUAAGCCAUGGGUCACUUAUUGAUAAAUGUAGUUGAAGUCUAUUAUUUUGCAAAAUGAAAUAUAUAUUCUUGGUUUAAUGAUUUAGUACAUAUUGUUUCAAAACUGCUUACAGUGAUUUUUGUGCUAAGGUUGAGAUAACUAGGUAAUUAUCUAGCCAUGUCAGUAACAUAUAUGCCUUGAGUAUUCAAACAUGGUAAUACAAAUUUCGCAACUUGAUAUUUAAUUCUUGCAAGGAAUAUUGUUGUUUGCCCGAUUAACGAGAUACUUGAGUCACUUCACAAAAUGUUACGUCUUUCGAGGCGUUCACAGGGAAGGCUACUGGUGUUGGCAUCGCUGUUGCCAGUUAUAAACUAAAUGAUCUUUAGCGUGAUGGAAUGUUAUCAACUCUUGUGGUGAACACUAAUGACCUUUAGCAUUGCAUAGUGAGUAUGAGAUCGGGCCUCCCGUCUUUGGUAGAAAAUUUGUUCCUGUCCGUCUAAGUUGUACAGGGAGCAUAUAUUGCUUAUUAUUGGCACUAAUUGCAUUGUGCUUUCGUUCUUUGGUGGAAAUUCACUUUAUGUCCAUUGCCUAAUUUGUACAAAAAAAAUGUAGAAUGCUAUUGGCAUAAUUACUUUUCCCCGAUAGCAGAGUUUCUAAAGUGUAUGGAGACGAGAAAGGUAUGUGCUACCAUAUCCUGCUCAUCAAGAGUAAAUGUGUGUGUGUGUGGUUUUCACGCAAGUCAUUGUUCUGAAGUGUCUUUGCAACUUCAGAUUGUGAUUUUAGUGUUGCUAUUUCUUACAUGUUAGAGGGGACACAUUAUUUUUCACAUUUCAUCUUUGCAGAGGAGUAGUUGUUAUCUAUAAUCAGAUAGUGUAAGAAAUGAAAGAUUUGUUUGUCUUAGCAUCAAAACGUUAAAUAUUAAAAUAUGCAUGACAUCAUAUUCAAUACACAUAUCCGAAUUGUGCCAAAUUUGUUUGAUCAGUGCAAAAUUGCAUAUGCUAUUUUUUUGGUUAUUCCGUGCCAACACAUGUGUAUUUAUCUAGGUAGAUAUAGGCAGUGUGCUAUUUAAUGCAUUGUUAUUUAGUUGGCCGGUAAUAAGUUCUAAAAAGCAUCCUCGUUCAAGAGCCAAAUUUCUGUAAAAUUUAGAGUGAAUAAAUCUUUGUUCUAUAUACAUGUAAUGCUUUUCAGCAACUUUUAGUUUCAUUUACCGGGAGUAUUGGUUUCUUUUGCAAUUUAGAAUUUGUUGUUUGUUUAUUUCUUUUCAUCAGAUCGGAGUUCAUUGGUUUGUUUGUUCCUUUUUAUCAGUCAUCUACCAUGGAAUGUUCUAUAUGUGUUUUUUGUUUUUUGUUCAAAGAGUUAUUUUCUCUCAUGUGCUUUAAUCAUAUGCACACAUGGUUGCGCGUGCAGUAUUAAAACCAGUCUAUCAUUCCUUUUUAUGAUGAAUUUAAGAGUUUUUAUCUUGAAAGUAGUCUUACAACAUCUAUUUUAUUUUUAGACUAAAAUUUUGAAUUGUAGGGUCUAUGCCAGUGAUGUGAUGCUUAUAUGUUCUAUGAUGUUAUUCCAACACACCGUCCAUGGUUGCUUGACAGGAAACAGAGAAGUGGCCAGAUGGGCAAUCAACUCAUCUGCUGAUUGGAUUGGGGGAGUGGCAUGAACAAAGUAAAUGUGAAGAAAGCAAGUUUGGACGCUAGGUGGCGGAACCAACAGGGGAAGCGUCAGGCGUGAACCAAACAUCUAUGGCUUGUUGCUUUGAAUCUUGUCGGUCUAGGCAAGGUUAGCUCUUGUCACGAUGCAAUGAUCAACCUUUAAGAAAUUCUUGCGUACAUGUCUAUUAGUACUA